UGUUUUUGUUUGGGAAAAAACCCUCCUUUGCCAGGGAAACUGACGGUACCAAACGAAUAAGCACCGGCUAACUCCAUGCCAGCAGCCGCGGUAA
RNAcentral lists this ribosomal RNA (94 nucleotides) under uncultured Bacillus sp. RNAcentral describes it as "partial 16S ribosomal RNA". Lineage: Bacteria; Bacillati; Bacillota; Bacilli; Caryophanales; Bacillaceae. The record is from RNAcentral.